UGUGACCUAGGAUGAAGAAAACAGUG
RNAcentral lists this non-coding RNA (26 nucleotides) under Homo sapiens (human). Lineage: Eukaryota; Metazoa; Chordata; Mammalia; Primates; Hominidae. The record is from RNAcentral.